GAGACAGCAGCCGCCGCGGUAAUACGUAGGGUGCAAGCGUUAAUCGGAAUUACUGGGCGUAAAGCGUGCGCAGGCGGUUAUAUAAGACAGAUGUGAAAUCCCCGGGCUCAACCUGGGAACUGCAUUUGUGACUGUAUAGCUAGAGUACGGCAGAGGGGGAUGGAAUUCCGCGUGUAGCAGUGAAAUGCGUAGAUAUGCGGAGGAACACCGAUGGCGAAGGCAAUCCCCUGGGCCUGUACUGACGCUCAUGCACGAAAGCGUGGGGAGCAAACAGGAUUAGAUACCCCCGUAGUCCCUGUCUCUUAUAC
This 308-nucleotide ribosomal RNA is filed under the name uncultured bacterium. Its description in RNAcentral is "partial 16S ribosomal RNA". It matches the Rfam family "Bacterial small subunit ribosomal RNA", at positions 505 to 807 of the family's 1533-position model. The record is from RNAcentral.